This 491-nucleotide ribosomal RNA is filed under the name uncultured bacterium. Its description in RNAcentral is "partial 16S ribosomal RNA". It matches the Rfam family "Bacterial small subunit ribosomal RNA", at positions 29 to 507 of the family's 1533-position model. The record is from RNAcentral.
GUGAACGCUGGCGGUAGGCCUAACACAUGCAAGUCGAACGGCAGCACAGUAAGAGCUUGCUCUUACGGGUGGCGAGUGGCGGACGGGUGAGGAAUACAUCGGAAUCUACUUUUUCGUGGGGGAUAACGUAGGGAAACUUACGCUAAUACCUCAUACGACCUACGGGUGAAAGCAGGGGAUCUUCGGACCUUGCGCGAUUGAAUGAGCCGAUGUCGGAUUAGCUAGUUGGCGGGGUAAAGGCCCACCAAGGCGACGAUCCGUAGCUGGUCUGAGAGGAUGAUCAGCCACACUGGAACUGAGACACGGUCCAGACUCCUACGGGAGGAAGCAGUGGGGAAUAUUGGACAAUGGGCGCAAGCCUGAUCCAGCCAUACCGCGUGGGUGAAGAAGGCCUUCGGGUUGUAAAGCCCUUUUGUUGGGAAAGAAAAGCAGCAGGUUAAUACCCCGCUGUUCUGACGGUACCCAAAGAAUAAGCACCGGCUAACUUCGUG